Long non-coding RNA from Perca fluviatilis (European perch), 295 nucleotides. RefSeq lists it as uncharacterized. The transcript has 3 exons. The record is from RefSeq and is a predicted model, not a curated record. NCBI's taxonomy places the organism in Eukaryota, Metazoa, Chordata, Actinopteri, Perciformes, Percidae.
AACUGUAACAGUUCCAGUGUCAGAGGCACUUGUGAUUACUCCCGAUACGUCUGCAGAGCCCAGUCAACCGGCGCUGCAGCCACCAAUUGGACAGAGAGCUCAAAGUCAGCCGGUAACCAGGCCAUCAAGGGUCCCCAGCAUUCCUCCUCCAUAGCUUCCUGGCUAUGACCAUGAUGGAACUGUUCUCACCAGCAGAGGAUCUGGAUGAAGACAGAGCUGGAAUCGAUGGGUCUCUGGCCGGGCUCCAUUCCUGUGCGCAACCCCAUGAAGAUGGUGUCAUUUUGGCGUUUCCCAC